Molecule: ribosomal RNA, 674 nt
Filed under: Pseudanabaena sp. PUPCCC 106.7
Lineage: Bacteria; Bacillati; Cyanobacteriota; Cyanophyceae; Pseudanabaenales; Pseudanabaenaceae
Description: bacterial SSU rRNA
Rfam family: Bacterial small subunit ribosomal RNA
Source: RNAcentral
UCGGACGGGGGUGAGUAACGCGUGAGAAUCUACCUAUAGGUUCGGGACAACAGUUAGAAAUGACUGCUAAUACCGGAUAUGCCUUCGGGUGAAAGUUUUAAUGCCUGUAGAUGAGCUUGCGUUCGAUUAGCUAGAUGGAGUGGUAAUGGCACACCAUGGCGACGAUCGAUAACUGGUCUGAGAGGAUGACCAGUCACACUGGGACUGAGACACGGACCAGACUCCUACGGGAGGCAGCAGUGGGGAAUUUUCCGCAAUGGGCGAAAGCCUGACGGAGCAAUACCGCGUGAGGGACGAAGGUCUGUGGAUUGUAAACCUCUUUUGUUAGGGAAGAUAAUGACGGUACCUAACGAAUAAGCAUCGGCUAACUCCGUGCCAGCAGCCGCGGUAAGACGGAGGAUGCAAGCGUUAUCCGGAAUUAUUGGGCGUAAAGCGUACGUAGGCUGUUUCAUAAGUCUGUUGUCAAAGCCCGAGGCUCAACCUUGGAAAGGCAAUGGAAACUGUGAGGCUAGAGAGAGAUAGGGGCAGGAGGAAUUCCAGGUGUAGCGGUGAAAUGCGUAGAUAUCUGGAAGAACACCAGUGGCGAAAGCGUCCUGCUGGAUCUCAACUGACGCUGAAGUACGAAAGCUAGGGGAGCGAAUGGGAUUAGAUACCCCAGUAGUCACGCGUUACUC